CCUACGGGGGGCAGCAGUGAGGAAUAUUGGUCAAUGGACGAGAGUCUGAACCAGCCAAGUAGCGUGAAGGAUGACUGCCCUAUGGGUUGUAAACUUCUUUUAUAAAGGAAUAAAACGAGGCACGUGUGCCUUUUUGCAUGUACUUUAUGAAUAAGGAUCGGCUAACUCCGUGCCAGCAGCCGCGGCAAUACGGAGGAUCCGAGCGUUAUCCGGAUUUAUUGGGUUUAAAGGGAGCGUAGAUGGGUUGUUAAGUCAGUUGUGAAAGUUUGCGGCUCAACCGUAAAAUUGCAAUUGAUACUGGCAGUCGUGAGUACAGUUGAGGUAGGCGGAAUUCGUGGUGUAGCGGUGAAAUGCUUAGAUAUCACGAAGAACCCCGAUUGCGAAGGCAGCUUACUAAACUGUGACUGACAUUGAUGCUCGAAAGUGUGGGUAUCAAACAGGAUUAGAUACCCGAGUAGUC
RNAcentral lists this ribosomal RNA (460 nucleotides) under uncultured bacterium. RNAcentral's name for it is "partial 16S ribosomal RNA". It matches the Rfam family "Bacterial small subunit ribosomal RNA", at positions 338 to 795 of the family's 1533-position model. The record is from RNAcentral.